This 1106-nucleotide long non-coding RNA is filed under the name Triticum aestivum (bread wheat). RNAcentral's name for it is "long non-coding RNA (TAES_LNC008793)". Lineage: Eukaryota; Viridiplantae; Streptophyta; Magnoliopsida; Poales; Poaceae. The record is from RNAcentral.
CCGUCGUGGCGGUGCUCUCUCCGGCGGCGCUGCAGGGUUAGGGAGGUUGGUCUCUCUCUGGUUCGGGCAUCCGGCGAGGUUUGGUCGGUGAAGGGCGUGUACAGGAGUUGGGAUUUUGUGGAGAGGGAUUUCCAGAUCCGGUCACCGCGGACGACUGGCAGCUGCGGACUGUAGUGGGCGAAUGGUUGGAGCUACUGCUCCACUCCGGCGAAGGCUUGCGCUGGUGGCAGCUUCGAAAACAGGGGAAGGGGAGCACGAGGUCUACCCCUGGCUGAUGCACAGGAACCCGCCCCUUGUUCCCGUCCAUGGUUGUCUCGUGGACGACCACUCUUCCUCGCACUGGUGGAUGCAGAGAUCGGCGUGCCUCGGUAAAGGAAGAUGAACUGGGCUGUAAGUUGCUUUGUUUUCUCUGAUGACAUUGAUUCCCUUUUGUGUUGUCUCUGGUUCUCAACCUCCAAGGACAUGGCCUUUUUUUUUGUGCUGCCCAUGGAGGCUAGCAGCGGCAGGACCUCCAUGAGUAGGCCGCGGAGGAUGUUUGCCGGUGGCGAGCUACUCGUUCCGGACGGCUCCGGUUCCAAGCUUUCGUCGAUUAGGAGCAUAUUUCGCGAGAUAAUCUCAUUCUAACAUGUCUCUGAUUAUGAUUUUUUCCUGUGGAUUUCAGGAUAUAGAAGGCAGUUUCGCAGUGGGGUCACUGACAAGCAAGGUGAGGCCAUUGUGUCUAUUAUUGUGUUAGUGUGUUUCAAAGAAAUCACACUAAUUUCUCUCAGUAUAGUAUAUGUCUCUGCAGAGAAAUAAGUCCUGGAGCAUGCUUUAGUGAAGACUACUGAUCCAGAAUUGGCCGUAUGUUCAUGAACAGUUUUCUGCUACUGAAAUAAGUCCUGGAGCAGGCUUCAGUGUGGACUACUGAUCUACAAGUCUUAUGUUGAUGAACAAUUUUAUGUUGCUCUGACUGAACGGAUUGUUGUAAUUUAGCCAAACAACAUGUCACCGUGCCACUACCUAGGUUUUUGCACAAAUUUUUUGUCUGUUUGGGUGGUGCCAAGCUGCCAAUAAAAGACAGGCUGUCUUCUUGUUACAAUUCAUGCCAUUCUUAUUAUGAUGUGUUG